CAGCAGCCGCGGUAAAACGUAGGUGGCAAGCGUUGUCCGGAAUUAUUGGGCGUAAAGGGCUCGCAGGCGGUUUCUUAAGUCUGAUGUGAAAGCCCCCGGUUCAACCGGGGAGGGUCAUUGGAAACUGGGAAACUUGAGUGCAGAAGAGGAGAGUGGAAUUCCACGUGUAGCGGUGAAAUGCGUAGAGAUGUGGAGGAACACCAGUGGCGAAGGCGACUCUCUGGUCUGUAACUGACGCUGAGGAGCGAAAGCGUGGGGAGCGAACAGGAUUAGAUACCCCGGUAGUCCCUGUCUCUUAUAC
This 301-nucleotide ribosomal RNA is filed under the name uncultured bacterium. Its description in RNAcentral is "partial 16S ribosomal RNA". It matches the Rfam family "Bacterial small subunit ribosomal RNA", at positions 509 to 807 of the family's 1533-position model. The record is from RNAcentral.